GAAGCCAGAAUCAUAUAAAAGAAGGUUAUAUAUUGUUAACUAGCCGAGCCUCAGAUAUUUCCUACUUGGAACUCGGUGCGGCGUACGCCGUUGGUGAUGCGUGUCCGUGUACGAACUCGUUGCUUGGUUCUCUCGGCCACAAGGAUAUCUUUCGUUCUCUCGUUCUAACUAACUGGGACGGCUCCGGGAGUAGGGGGGAGACGACCGUGGAAACCUUCGUGCAGGGAGGGCGUUGCGACAACAGAAAUGUCUAGGUACGGGCCACCGGUAGUUGUUCUCUUCUGACUCACUCGGUACCUAGACCGGUACCCCCGGUACCCGAGGGAGGAGGUGUUUGACGAGCUCCAGUAGUUCCUGCUCAUGUUGGAUGUCUUCCUUCAAUUCGUUUUCCAGCUCAGGAAGAGACGACUCGACUUUCGAUACGUUCGACGGGAACCGUUCCACCGUCUCCACGGCGCGCUAGUUGAGCUUCUGCUCUGGUUCCAAACCCGACUGCUUCAAUCCCUCGACAGAAUGCUUUACCUCCUACAGUAGCUGAGAGAGGACCACGCACAACACCCGACACUGGGGUUGGGGUCACUACUCGUCUUGUCCGAGCUCUUCGAGACCCAGUCGAAGUUCUUCGACAAGUUUUCCCCGUUCCGUUUUGUAGCCUAAAGGUGUCUAUAACUUCUCUAACUGUUCGUCAACGUUUUUCAGCGGUAGGCUGUGCUUUCCAUACUUUGAGGAUUAGAUGGACGUCGGUGUUCCCGGUGGGAACUAGGAAAGAACCUCCAAGAGAUACCUCUAUUCUUCUUAUAGUAGCCGGAUCUCCUUCGUUCCUUGCUAUAAUAGUUCUUCUAGUGACUCCCACUGACAUUCGUUGAGUUCUGUGAGAGAUAACAACCUAAACCUCCUAACCCGUUCUGAUGCGAACGGUUUCUUCACAUACUACGGGAACGUUGUUUUAAACCUGUGUUUCGAAAACACAGACACAGAGCCUUAGGGCUGUACUUCUUUCAUAAUUCGCUAGAGGAGAAAUUUGAACUGUUCUUUUAUGUACGAUCAGUAUUACGUCUUUUAAACCGUCAUCUCUUCGAGUAGUAGGAUUAAUUUCUUAAAGAAUCGUUGUUUUCCAUGAAAUAUUAAGAGCUACUAAAUACCCUAUUUUUUCGUACCUUUCUUUAGUCAAUACGUGAAUGGCUGCUAUUCACACCUUCAUAUUAUUAGUGAUGUUGGGCGGUACAACUCUAGAGAUUCCUUACAACGAGAAGAUUUCUACCAUACUAAGUAUUCUACUUUAGAGAGAGACUACUACUGAGCGUUUUUGAAAAGAUACCUUCUUAUAAAGAUUCACUCCACACAGGAAGAGCCAAACUCGUUCAUAGGUUUCUCUAAGAACUUUUUUACACGUCCCCAUGGUAAUCGGCAGUAAUCACACCGAUCAAUAAACCGAUUGUUAGUCUUGUCUCUGGUUUAACUAGUUACCCUUCGAAACGAGUGAAGAUAACCGGGACCUGAAUUUUUACCACUACUAGUACACCUGCUCUACUUCUCCUAUAAUAAUAACUCGAUAAUACUAGAGGGAAGGAUAAACUUUUGUACGAAAAAUAUAGAUUCAUAGAAAGGACUUCUAGUAGUUUAAUCGUCUCUGGCCAACUGUUCCUCUACCUAAACACUUCCAAAAUAGGUUCAUUUUCCAGUUUGGUCGGGUGAACGUCUUUUAGUUGGAUCAGAGGAACUCGAUCCUCUACGGAUGAAGUUGCUCAAUCAUUUGUCCUUGUACUAGUACGGCUAUUUGUAUGUAUCACCAUCCCAACCUCGAACAACACAUGUACUAUAUUACGACCUAGAAUAUACACUUAAUAGUUCGCUUCUUUUGAAACAAUGACAUAACCUGAAAUAGUUCCCUCUGUGUGGAAACCUUUUCUUCAAGGCGUCCAACAGGGAGGUUUUCCCGUACUGUCUAGGGUGGUGAUGAGCCUACCGAUGGUGUUCGUACAGUGUUCACUCCAGAAAAUGGCGAAAAUCAGGGAGACAGUCAUUCUAAGGGAGAUAAAGAUCUAAAGUUCAAAACGCACAUAACCUAGACCUCCCAACACUAGAAGUUUUUUAGGGACCGUAACUGGAAUCAGUACAACUCUUCAACAAUGUAGACUCCAUAGACCCCAAUUCCCCGUGUUUCCAACCGUUCGAGGGAUACCUUUAUCCUUUCGAUGCCAAAAACGUCUGUGAUCUGAAUGUUAACUGGUUAAGUUUUCUUAACGGCAGGUCACAACAAGUCGACUCCGUAAACUACACGGAUUAGGAACUAAAACUAUACGGUGAUGGUUUUCCCAAGUCGUUGUACUGUACGGAACUUGUCGACUACCCCGUGUUAUACCCGAAACAAAGACUUCUUUGACGUUUUCUCGACCCGGUAGACUCGUCCAAUUCUCUCGAGCGGAAAUCUAAACUAAGUCUAUAACCGCUCCCUCAACUACUACUACUUCUAUGAUUUCGUGACUAACCUAGGGAUCGGUUCGAUAUGUUUGAGCUCUCGGACCUCUAGAGGAGAGGAUUCAUAACCAAACUGUUACAGGAAUACCUAACCCACGGCAGUGUUUUGGAUGUUUCCGAAUCUAACAUGCCUUUUAAGUCCUCCAACGGAUGUACCUAAACAAGAAGCAGAGAUGGAGAUGAGAGGAUGGAACUAGAUUUACGGUACCUUCACGCUAAGUCUCUAUAGGUCUAGGAACCCUACGACGGCCGAGAGGCAAUACAGUGAGAGUAAAGACACGAGUCGUUUCCGUCUUUGAAUCACCUCUUCAACCACGAAUCAAAACCACGGAAGGGGUCACGCUUUCACACGGAAAAGGUGUUUGAAUAUGACCACGUGGGAUGGAAGGUUGGUCCUCGGUACGGUUACCAAGUUGCGGAAGCGAAGCCAGAGGCUCACUUACUGUAGUAGUCAGGGCUGAAGUUAAACUCGUAUGUCUUGGAAGGAAGCGAUGUCGUUGAGUCUUAACUGGAAGAGCUAAUACUUUAGUUUGUACUCCUAAUAAGAGUUCGGUACCUGCACGACUCCACACACCGUCUUCCGGUAGGGUUCUUAGGGUGGGAAGCACGACUAUUUAAGUAAACUACUACCUCUCCGGCUCAGUUCGGUUCGGCUCGCUACUUGUUUUAGGACACAGGAGUUCGAUCGUCCUCCACUAAAGGAGCCGCCGUAGUUGAGAUAGUACGUUUAGAGGUAGAAGGCUCGGGGCCAACGUUCGAAAGCUAGAAGGCGUAGAAGUUAAGUACAUGGGAGGCAUAGUAGCUCCACUUGAAUUAAGACACACGAAAACUGACAUGACAAAUAAACUACUUGGUUGAACAAACAAGUCACACAUUAUUCCGAUCAAACCAUCCCACGGUCCAAAAAACAGGGAAUCCAAUACAAGGGUCGCUUACAUUGAUCUCCCAAAAGGACCACACGCAAAUUGAGUCGCUUGGAUAAAGGUAAAGAUAACAACACACCUUAUGACAGAUGUAAGAACAUUCUAUUUUAAACCACUAUAAGAUAAGACAAGAACGAAAGGUACCAAGUCCUUGGUAAUGUAAAGAUUCCAGGAGUCAAAAUGAAGGACUUUCGAUCGAUCGAACUACUUGAUAGAUAAAAGUGAAAGGAAGGUUUAUUCAUCGAGUACUACAUGAAGGAGGCAACGAUUUAUAAACAGAAAGAUUUGUAAAGUUUAUCUGAUAGUGUAUGCCUAUAUACAUCUGUAUAAAAUCUCACAUCUAAGUGAGUAAAACGAGGCAUACAUCAGUACGUGAUUAUUCUGAGGUUUAGGAACCAAACUCGUAGGGAAAGAAAACAUUGGAGAGAAUCCUUGAAGUUUGCCUUGUUCCGAUCCACGGGGAACGCCCUUUGAUAUAAGUUCUUGAUUAGGUAAGCUGGGCUGCUCCUAGCUUCGGUGAGCAACUUUAUAGAUUUUUCUGUUUAUAAAUCCUUGCCUCUCUUAUGAUGCAUCAAGUGAAGAAACACUACACUACAUGUGAUGAUGGCCGAACAAACGGCCGACGGAGACGACGGCAGUACCGACGUAAGUUUGAGGAAAAACAGAAAGAGUUUUAGUCAUUCACUUCGGGAUCAGUCAAACAAAUAAACCUACGGAUAAAUAAAAGAAGCAAGGGUUACUACUAGACGAUAAUGGAAACAUGUCUUAAUCACAGGGUGACCUCUGUCCCGUCGAUGCAUAAAAACCACAAGCAUAUUACAUCAUUUUGUAUAACUCAAGUGUAAUACUAGAGUUCGUCCG
RNAcentral lists this ribosomal RNA (4262 nucleotides) under Triticum aestivum (bread wheat). RNAcentral describes it as "partial small subunit ribosomal RNA". Lineage: Eukaryota; Viridiplantae; Streptophyta; Magnoliopsida; Poales; Poaceae. The record is from RNAcentral.